GUGUCAGCAGCCGCGGUAAGACGAACCGUGCGAACGUUAUUCGGAAUCACUGGGCUUAAAGCGCGUGUAGGCGGAUGGGAACGUCGGUAGUUGAAAGCCCCCGGCUCAACCGGGGAAGUGGUGCCGAAACGACCCGUCUGGAGGGACGUAGGGGGACCUGGAACUUCCGGUGGAGCGGUGAAAUGCGUUGAGAUCGGAAGGAACGCCCGUGGCGAAAGCGAGGUCCUGGACGUCUACUGACGCUGAGACGCGAAAGCUAGGGGAGCAAACGGGAUUAGAAACCCUAGUAGUCC
RNAcentral lists this ribosomal RNA (293 nucleotides) under uncultured bacterium. Its description in RNAcentral is "partial 16S ribosomal RNA". It matches the Rfam family "Bacterial small subunit ribosomal RNA", at positions 505 to 796 of the family's 1533-position model. The record is from RNAcentral.